UGUCUUCAGGGCAGGGUGAAAUUCCCGAUUGGCGGUCAAAGUCCGCGAGCGCUUCGGCGCAUGAUUCGGUGCAACUCCGGAACCAACAGUGAUAGUCUGGAUGGAAGAAGACG
Molecule: non-coding RNA, 113 nt
Filed under: human gut metagenome
Description: FMN riboswitch (RFN element)
Rfam family: FMN riboswitch aptamer (RFN element)
About the family: The RFN element is a highly conserved domain that is found frequently in the 5'-untranslated regions of prokaryotic mRNAs that encode for flavin mononucleotide (FMN) biosynthesis and transport proteins. This element is a metabolite-dependent riboswitch that directly binds FMN in the absence of proteins.
Source: RNAcentral